RNAcentral lists this ribosomal RNA (253 nucleotides) under uncultured bacterium. RNAcentral describes it as "partial 16S ribosomal RNA". It matches the Rfam family "Bacterial small subunit ribosomal RNA", at positions 524 to 776 of the family's 1533-position model. The record is from RNAcentral.
GACGUAGGGCGCGAGCGUUGUCCGGAUUUAUUGGGCGUAAAGAGCUCGUAGGCGGCUUGUUGCGUCGACCGUGAAAACCCGCGGCUUAACUGCGGGCUUGCGGUUGAUACGGGCGGGCUGGAGUUCGGUAGGGGAGACUGGAAUUCCUGGUGUAGCGGUGAAAUGCGCAGAUAUCGGGAAGAACACCCGUGGCGAAGGCGGUUCUCUGGGACGGUACUGACGCUGAGACGCGAAAGCGUGGGGAGCGAACAGG